AAAGUUUGAUCAUGGCUCAGAAUGAACGCUGGCGGCGUGCUUAACACAUGCAAGUCGCAAGAGAACUCUUCUGCUUGCAGAAGAUAGUAAAGUGGCGCACGGGUGAGUAACGCGUGGGCAAUCUACCUCCGAAUUGGGGAUAACUCCGCGAAAGCGGGGCUAAUACCGAAUAACAUCCUGAGAACUUUGGUUUUUGGGAUCAAAGGUGGCCUCUAUAUAUAAGCUACUGUUUGGAGAUGAGCCCGCGUACCAUUAGCUUGUUGGUAGGGUAAUGGCCUACCAAAGCUACGAUGGUUAGCUGGUCUGAGAGGAUGAUCAGCCACACUGGAACUGACACACGGUCCGGACUCCUACGGGAGGCAGCAGUGAGGAAUUUUGCGCAAUGGGGGAAACCCUGACGCAGCAACGCCGCGUGAGUGAUGAAGGCUUUCGAGUCGUAAAACUCUGUCAAGUGAGAAGAAACUAUUCUGCGCUAAUACCGCGGGAUACUGACGGUAUCACUGAAGGAAGCACCGGCUAACUCCGUGCCAGCAGCCGCGC
RNAcentral lists this ribosomal RNA (540 nucleotides) under uncultured bacterium. Its description in RNAcentral is "bacterial SSU rRNA". It matches the Rfam family "Bacterial small subunit ribosomal RNA", at positions 8 to 520 of the family's 1533-position model. The record is from RNAcentral.